Molecule: non-coding RNA, 150 nt
Organism: Staphylococcus carnosus subsp. carnosus TM300
Lineage: Bacteria; Bacillati; Bacillota; Bacilli; Caryophanales; Staphylococcaceae
Source: Rfam
GUUAAUGUGAUUAUUUUACCUAAGACAGUAGGAGUUAAGAAAUAACUUAAAAAUUAUAUCCUACCGAGGCUAAAAUUGACUUGAACGUGGUUUGUAAAAAACUUUCAAGCACUUUUUGCCGUGGGGUGAAAGUGCUUUUUUUAUUGGAUU